GCCCAGAUAGCUCAGCUGGUAGAGCAGUGGACUGAAAAUCCGCGUGUCGCUGGUUCGAUUCCGGCUCUGGGCACCA
This 76-nucleotide transfer RNA is filed under the name Deltaproteobacteria bacterium RBG_16_71_12. RNAcentral's name for it is "tRNA-Phe". It matches the Rfam family "tRNA". Rfam says of the family: Transfer RNA (tRNA) molecules are approximately 80 nucleotides in length. Their secondary structure includes four short double-helical elements and three loops (D, anti-codon, and T loops). Further hydrogen bonds mediate the characteristic L-shaped molecular structure. tRNAs have two regions of fundamental functional importance: the anti-codon, which is responsible for specific mRNA codon recognition, and the 3' end, to which the tRNAs corresponding amino acid is attached (by aminoacyl-tRNA synthetases). tRNAs cope with the degeneracy of the genetic code in two manners: having more than one tRNA (with a specific anti-codon) for a particular amino acid; and 'wobble' base-pairing, i.e. permitting non-standard base-pairing at the 3rd anti-codon position. The record is from RNAcentral. RNAcentral also lists the same sequence under 2 other names. Lineage: Bacteria; Deltaproteobacteria.